AGUGAACGCUGGCGGUUGGCCUAACACAUGCAAGUCGAACGGCAGCACAGUAAGAGCUUGCUCUUACGGGUGGCGAGUGGCGGACGGGUGAGGAAUACAUCGGAAUCUACUUUUUCGUGGGGGAUAACGUAGGGAAACUUACGCUAAUACCGCAUACGACCUACGGGUGAAAGCAGGGGAUCUUCGGACCUUGCGCGAUUGAAUGAGCCGAUGUCGGAUUAGCUAGUUGGCGGGGUAAAGGCCCACCAAGGCGACGAUCCGUAGCUGGUCUGAGAGGAUGAUCAGCCUCACUGGAACUGAGACACGGUCCAGACUCCUACGGGAGGCAGCAGUGGGGAAUAUUGGACAAUGGGCGCAAGCCUGAUCCAGCCAUACCGCGUGGGUGAAGAAGGCCUUCGGGUUGUAAAGCCCUUUUGUUGGGAAAGAAAAGCAGCAGGUUAAUACCCCGCUGUUCUGACGGUACCCAAAGAAUAAGCACCGGCUAACUUCGUG
RNAcentral lists this ribosomal RNA (492 nucleotides) under uncultured bacterium. Its description in RNAcentral is "partial 16S ribosomal RNA". It matches the Rfam family "Bacterial small subunit ribosomal RNA", at positions 29 to 507 of the family's 1533-position model. The record is from RNAcentral.